CAGCUGAAAUUAGGCAAGGAGAAAUCCAACCUCACUGACUAACUGUGUCUUUUUAGUGGCCCACCGAGAGAAUAAAAGAGACAAAUGUGAAGCUCUGUGACUCUGCUGAGAUUUUGCCGUUGACUUUUAUUGCUUGUGGAUCACCUCUGAGGAUCCUGGAGUGGGCUGCUGGGGGUCCUGCUCUGAGCAAUGGCUGCUAAAAAAAUAUAUUGCUUUUUUGUUGGCAUCCUGCCUUGAUUGAUGAGAUGUUAGCAGCCCCUAAGAAGGAGAAAAUCCAUAUGCCGAAGACGACCAUGGGCUCAAUUUCCUACAGAGGAAGAGUGUUGGAUGAAGCAUAGAAACAGGAAAAUGACUUCAAUGUUUCAGAUGCUUCAGACACUGGAAUAUCUUGGGCUAUCAAAACAGAACACAACAGUCAUGAUCAGAAACAUUUUGCUUUAG
This 441-nucleotide long non-coding RNA is filed under the name Anas platyrhynchos platyrhynchos (common mallard). Its description in RNAcentral is "lncRNA (ENSAPLG00000030313.1)". Lineage: Eukaryota; Metazoa; Chordata; Aves; Anseriformes; Anatidae. The record is from RNAcentral.